AGUGAACGCUGGCGGUAGGCCUAACACAUGCAAGUCGAACGGCAGCACAGUAAGAGCUUGCUCUUACGGGUGGCGAGUGGCGGACGAGUGAGGAAUACAUCGGAAUCUACUUUUUCGUGGGGGAUAACGUAGGGAAACUUACGCUAAUACCGCAUACGACCUACGGGUGAAAGCAGGGGAUCUUCGGACCUUGCGCGAUUGAAUGAGCCGAUGUCGGAUUAGCUAGUUGGCGGGGUAAAGGCCCACCAAGGCGACGAUCCGUAGCUGGUCUGAGAGGAUGAUCAGCCACACUGGAACUGAGACGCGGUCCAGACUCCUACGGGAGGCAGCAGUGGGGAAUAUUGGGCAAUGGGCGCAAGCCUGAUCCAGCCAUACCGCGUGGGUGAAGAAGGCCUUCGGGUUGUAAAGCCCUUUUGUUGGGAAAGAAAAGCAGCAGGUUAAUACCCCGCUGUUCUGACGGUACCCAAAGAAUAAGCACCGGCUAACUUCGUG
This 492-nucleotide ribosomal RNA is filed under the name uncultured bacterium. Its description in RNAcentral is "partial 16S ribosomal RNA". It matches the Rfam family "Bacterial small subunit ribosomal RNA", at positions 29 to 507 of the family's 1533-position model. The record is from RNAcentral.